RNAcentral lists this unclassified non-coding RNA (337 nucleotides) under soil metagenome. RNAcentral's name for it is "partial contains 5.8S ribosomal RNA, internal transcribed spacer 2, and large subunit ribosomal RNA". The stretch from base 2 to 121 matches the Rfam family "5.8S ribosomal RNA", at positions 35 to 154 of the family's 154-position model. The record is from RNAcentral.
AGAUGAAGAACGCAGCGAAAUGCGAUAAGUAAUGUGAAUUGCAGAAUUCAGUGAAUCAUCGAAUCUUUGAACGCACAUUGCGCCCGCCAGUAUUCUGGCGGGCAUGCCUGUUCGAGCGUCAUUUCAACCAUCAAGCCCCCGGCUUGCGUUGGGGACCUGCGGCUGCCGCAGGCCCUGAAAAGCAGUGGCGGGCUCGCUGUCACACCGAGCGUAGUAGCAUACAUCUCGCUCUGGGCGUGCUGCGGGUUCCGGCCGUUAAACCACCUUCAUAACCCAAGGUUGACCUCGGAUCAGGUAGGAAGACCCGCUGAACUUAAGCAUAUCAAUAAGCGGAGGA